Pelobates cultripes (western spadefoot toad) is the source of this 212-nucleotide non-coding RNA. Lineage: Eukaryota; Metazoa; Chordata; Amphibia; Anura; Pelobatidae. The record is from the annotation of a GenBank genome assembly.
AGAGUGAGGGACGGUGUGACUAGUGACAGAGAGAGGGAGGGGGUGACUAGUGACAGAGUGAGGGAGGUUGUGAUUAGUGACAGAGGGAGGGAUGAGGUGACUAGUGACAGUCACCACCUCCUUCACUCUGUCACUAGUCACCCCCUUCCUCACUCUGUCAUUGUGUCACCCCCUUCCUCACUCUGUCAUUGUGUCACCCCCUUUCUCACUCU